This is a long non-coding RNA of Thalassophryne amazonica, 562 nucleotides long. RefSeq lists it as uncharacterized. Lineage: Eukaryota; Metazoa; Chordata; Actinopteri; Batrachoidiformes; Batrachoididae. The transcript has 2 exons. The record is from RefSeq and is a predicted model, not a curated record.
CAUUUUAUUUUGCAUUGUUCUGCUUAUGCAGGGCAAAGAUAUGUUCUGUGUGCUUACAUCAUUGGGAAUUAACACCUUUUCCCUAAGGACCAUUCUAGGUCAAGGAGCUUCCCCUAAAGAGAGGACAAUGGCAGUCAUAAACUUUCUGAGGAGCACAGGGUGUUACAAUAAAGUGCACAUUCUGACAAGUGGGGGGCAGCAAUGCACUAGCCGUGCCUAGUCUGCCGGAAAUACAAAGAAGAAGAAGAAGACGCAAGAAAGGAGUACAAAGAUGGCGAACAUGAAUUUUUUUUCCCCAAAACUUUAUUUCAAUAAAUGCAACAUACAGUAACGAAAAAAAAGGGAAGGCCACAAUAACGUUCUCAGUAUUAUGAGAAAUAUUUUUUUUUCUUCUUCUUCUUCCUUCUCCUCUCUCUCCCUCUCCUUCCAACAGGAUUAAAUGUACAAACCAUCUUGGCAAUUAACAAUUUGAAACAUUCUGGUGCAGUUUACAAGGCACUGGUAACUUAACAAAAUAAGAAAAGAAGAUAGAUAUAUACACACACACACACAAACACACACA